This 523-nucleotide ribosomal RNA is filed under the name Pseudomonas sp. MSB2074. RNAcentral's name for it is "bacterial SSU rRNA". It matches the Rfam family "Bacterial small subunit ribosomal RNA", at positions 8 to 526 of the family's 1533-position model. Lineage: Bacteria; Pseudomonadati; Pseudomonadota; Gammaproteobacteria; Pseudomonadales; Pseudomonadaceae. The record is from RNAcentral.
AGAGUUUGAUCAUGGCUCAGAUUGAACGCUGGCGGCAGGCCUAACACAUGCAAGUCGAGCGGUAGAGAGAAGCUUGCUUCUCUUGAGAGCGGCGGACGGGUGAGUAAUGCCUAGGAAUCUGCCUGGUAGUGGGGGAUAACGUUCGGAAACGGACGCUAAUACCGCAUACGUCCUACGGGAGAAAGCAGGGGACCUUCGGGCCUUGCGCUAUCAGAUGAGCCUAGGUCGGAUUAGCUAGUUGGUGAGGUAAUGGCUCACCAAGGCGACGAUCCGUAACUGGUCUGAGAGGAUGAUCAGUCACACUGGAACUGAGACACGGUCCAGACUCCUACGGGAGGCAGCAGUGGGGAAUAUUGGACAAUGGGCGAAAGCCUGAUCCAGCCAUGCCGCGUGUGUGAAGAAGGUCUUCGGAUUGUAAAGCACUUUAAGUUGGGAGGAAGGGCAUUAACCUAAUACGUUAGUGUUUUGACGUUACCGACAGAAUAAGCACCGGCUAACUCUGUGCCAGCAGCCGCGGUAAUAC